UACGUAGGCAGCAAGCGUUGUUCGGAGUUACUGGGCGUAAAGGGUGUGUAGGCGGUUGUUUAAGUUUGGUGUGAAAUCUCCCGGCUCAACUGGGAGGGUGCGCCGAAUACUGAAUGACUAGAGUGCGGGAGAGGAAAGUGGAAUUCCUGGUGUAGCGGUGAAAUGCGUAGGUAUCAGGAGGAACACCGGUGGUGUAGACGGCUUUCUGGACCGUAACUGACGCUGAGACACGAAAGCGUGGGUAGCAAACAGG
This 253-nucleotide ribosomal RNA is filed under the name uncultured bacterium. RNAcentral's name for it is "partial 16S ribosomal RNA". It matches the Rfam family "Bacterial small subunit ribosomal RNA", at positions 524 to 776 of the family's 1533-position model. The record is from RNAcentral.